Molecule: ribosomal RNA, 757 nt
Filed under: Salmonella enterica subsp. enterica serovar Gaminara
Lineage: Bacteria; Pseudomonadati; Pseudomonadota; Gammaproteobacteria; Enterobacterales; Enterobacteriaceae
Description: bacterial LSU rRNA
Rfam family: Bacterial large subunit ribosomal RNA
Source: RNAcentral
CAUCCUCCAAGGCUAAAUACUCCUGACUGACCGAUAGUGAACCAGUACCGUGAGGGAAAGGCGAAAAGAACCCCGGCGAGGGGAGUGAAAAAGAACCUGAAACCGUGUACGUACAAGCAGUGGGAGCACCCUUUGGGGGUGUGACUGCGUACCUUUUGUAUAAUGGGUCAGCGACUUAUAUUCUGUAGCAAGGUUAACCGAAUAGGGGAGCCGGAGGGAAACCGAGUCUUAACCGGGCGUUAAGUUGCAGGGUAUAGACCCGAAACCCGGUGAUCUAGCCAUGGGCAGGUUGAAGGUUGGGUAACACUAACUGGAGGACCGAACCGACUAAUGUUGAAAAAUUAGCGGAUGACCUGUGGCUGGGGGUGAAAGGCCAAUCAAACCGGGAGAUAGCUGGUUCUCCCCGAAAGCUAUUUAGGUAGCGCCUCGUGAAUUCAUCUCCGGGGGUAGAGCACUGUUUCGGCUAGGGGGCCAUCCCGGCUUACCAACCCGAUGCAAACUGCGAAUACCGGAGAAUGUUAUCACGGGAGACACACGGCGGGUGCUAACGUCCGUCGUGAAGAGGGAAACAACCCAGACCGCCAGCUAAGGUCCCAAAGUCAUGGUUAAGUGGGAAACGAUGUGGGAAGGCCCAGACAGCCAGGAUGUUGGCUUAGAAGCAGCCAUCAUUUAAAGAAAGCGUAAUAGCUCACUGGUCGAGUCGGCCUGCGCGGAAGAUGUAACGGGGCUAAACCAUGCACCGAAGCUGCGGCAGCGA